RNAcentral lists this ribosomal RNA (292 nucleotides) under uncultured bacterium. RNAcentral describes it as "partial 16S ribosomal RNA". It matches the Rfam family "Bacterial small subunit ribosomal RNA", at positions 505 to 796 of the family's 1533-position model. The record is from RNAcentral.
GUGUCAGCAGCCGCGGUAAUACGUAGGUGGCGAGCGUUGUCCGGAAUUACUGGGUGUAAAGGGCGUGUAGGCGGGAAGGUAAGUCAGAUGUGAAAUACCGGGGCUCAACCCCGGGGCUGCAUUUGAAACUAUCUUUCUUGAGUGCAGGAGAGGAAAGUGGAAUUCCUAGUGUAGCGGUGAAAUGCGUAGAUAUUAGGAGGAACACCAGUGGCGAAGGCGACUUUCUGGACUGUAACUGACGCUGAGGCGCGAAAGCGUGGGGAGCGAACAGGAUUAGAAACCCUUGUAGUCC